GAUGAACGCUGGCGGCGUGCCUAAUACAUGCAAGUCGAGCGAACAGACGAGGAGCUUGCUCCUCUGACGUUAGCGGCGGACGGGUGGGUAACACGUGGAUAACCUACCUAUAAGACUGGGAUAACUUCGGGAAACCGGAGCUAAUACCGGAUAAUAUAUUGAACCGCAUGGUUCAAUAGUGAAAGACGGUUUUGCUGUCACUUAUAGAUGGAUCCGCGCCGCAUUAGCUAGUUGGUAAGGUAACGGCUUACCAAGGCAACAAUGCGUAGCCGACCUGAGAGGGUGAUCGGCCACACUGGAACUGAGACACGGUCCAGACUCCUACGGGAGGCAGCAGUAGGGAAUCUUCCGCAAUGGGCGAAAGCCUGACGGAGCAACGCCGCGUGAGUGAUGAAGGUCUUCGGAUCGUAAAACUCUGUUAUUAGGGAAGAACAAAUGUGUAAGUAACUAUGCACGUCUUGACGGUACCUAAUCAGAAAGCCACGGCUAACUACGUG
Molecule: ribosomal RNA, 497 nt
Filed under: uncultured bacterium
Lineage: Bacteria
Description: partial 16S ribosomal RNA
Rfam family: Bacterial small subunit ribosomal RNA
Source: RNAcentral